This 253-nucleotide ribosomal RNA is filed under the name uncultured bacterium. Its description in RNAcentral is "partial 16S ribosomal RNA". It matches the Rfam family "Bacterial small subunit ribosomal RNA", at positions 524 to 776 of the family's 1533-position model. The record is from RNAcentral.
UACAGAGACUGCAAGCGUUAUUCGGAUUCACUGGGCGUAAAGGGUGCGCAGGCGGUCGGGUGUGUCAGAUGUGAAAUCCCGGGGCUUAACUCCGGAACUGCAUUCCAUACUGCGGUGCUUGAGGACUGGAGAGGAGACUGGAAUUUACGGUGUAGCAGUGAAAUGCGUAGAGAUCGUAAGGAAGACCAGUGGCGAAGGCGGGUCUCUGGACAGUUCCUGACACUGAGGCACGAAGGCCAGGGGAGCAAACGGG